This 441-nucleotide ribosomal RNA is filed under the name uncultured bacterium. Its description in RNAcentral is "partial 16S ribosomal RNA". It matches the Rfam family "Bacterial small subunit ribosomal RNA", at positions 339 to 795 of the family's 1533-position model. The record is from RNAcentral.
CUACGGGUUGCUGCAGUGAGGAAUCUUCCGCAAUGGGCGAAAGCCUGACGGAGCGACACCGCGUGAAGGAUGACACCCCUUGGGGCGUAAACUUCUGUUCUGAGGGACGAAAUUUUUGACGGUACCUCAGGAGAAAGCACCGGCUAAUUCCGUGCCAGCAGCCGCGGUAAGACGGAAGGUGCAAGCGUUACUCGGAAUUACUGGGCGUAAAGCGUCCGCAGGCGACCUUUUAAGCCCGACAUUAAAAUGCGCAGCUCAACUGCGUAGUGUGCCGGAAACUGAAAGGAUUGAGUCAUUCAGGGGCAUCCGGAAUGCCAUGUGAAGGGGUCAAAUCCGUUGAUACAUGGUAGAACGCCAAAAGCGAAGGCAGGAUGCUGGGAAUGUACUGACGCUCAGGGACGAAAGCGUGGGGAGCGAAGGGGAUUAGAUACCCCGGUAGUC